RNAcentral lists this ribosomal RNA (465 nucleotides) under uncultured Klebsiella sp. RNAcentral describes it as "bacterial SSU rRNA". It matches the Rfam family "Bacterial small subunit ribosomal RNA", at positions 338 to 795 of the family's 1533-position model. Lineage: Bacteria; Pseudomonadati; Pseudomonadota; Gammaproteobacteria; Enterobacterales; Enterobacteriaceae. The record is from RNAcentral.
CCUACGGGAGGCUGCAGUGGGGAAUAUUGCACAAUGGGCGCAAGCCUGAUGCAGCCAUGCCGCGUGUGUGAAGAAGGCCUUCGGGUUGUAAAGCACUUUCAGCGGGGAGGAAGGCGUUAAGGUUAAUAACCUUGGCGAUUGACGUUACCCGCAGAAGAAGCACCGGCUAACUCCGUGCCAGCAGCCGCGGUAAUACGGAGGGUGCAAGCGUUAAUCGGAAUUACUGGGCGUAAAGCGCACGCAGGCGGUCUGUCAAGUCGGAUGUGAAAUCCCCGGGCUCAACCUGGGAACUGCAUUCGAAACUGGCAGGCUAGAGUCUUGUAGAGGGGGGUAGAAUUCCAGGUGUAGCGGUGAAAUGCGUAGAGAUCUGGAGGAAUACCGGUGGCGAAGGCAGCCCCCUGGACAAAGACUGACGCUCAGGUGCGAAAGCGUGGGGAGCAAACAGGAUUAGAUACCCGUGUAGUC